CCUACGGGAGGCAGCAGUGGGGAAUAUUGGGCAAUGGGCGCAAGCCUGACCCAGCAAUGCCGCGCGAAGGAAGAAGGCUUUCGGGUUGUAAACCUCUUUGUCAGGAGAAGAGCAGAAGACGGUACCCUGAAAACAAGCCACGGCUAACUACGAGCCAGCAGCCGCGGUAAUACGUAGGUGGCAAGCGUUGUCCGGAUUUACUGGGUGUAAAGGGAGUGUAGCCGGGAAGGUAAGUCAGAUGUGAAAUCUGGAGGCUCAACCUUCAAAUUGCAUUUGAAACUGGUUGUCUUGAGUACUGGAGAGGCAGACGGAAUUCCUUGUGUAGCGGUGAAAUGCGUAGAUAUAAGGAGGAACACCAGUGGCGAAGGCGGUCUGCUGGACAGCAACUGACGGUGAGGCGCGAAAGCGUGGGGAGCAAACAGGAUUAGAUACCCUUGUAGUG
This 442-nucleotide ribosomal RNA is filed under the name uncultured bacterium. RNAcentral describes it as "partial 16S ribosomal RNA". It matches the Rfam family "Bacterial small subunit ribosomal RNA", at positions 338 to 795 of the family's 1533-position model. The record is from RNAcentral.